AGGAUGAACGCUGGCGGCGUGCCUAACACAUGCAAGUCGAACGGAGUAGCAAUACUUAGUGGCGGACGGGUGAGUAACGCGUGAGAAUCUACCUUCAGGACGGAGACAACAGUUGGAAACGACUGCUAACCCCCGAUGUACUGAAAAGGCAAAUAUUUAUAGCCUGAAGAAGAGCUCGCGUCCGAUUAGCUAGUUGGAGAGGUAAAAGCUCACCAAGGCGACGAUCGGUAGCUGGUCUGAGAGGACGAUCAGCCACACUGGGACUGAGACACGGCCCAGACUCCUACGGGAGGCAGCAGUGGGGAAUUUUUCCGCAAUGGGCGAAAGCCUGACGGAGCAAGACCGCGUGGGGGAAGAAGGCUCUUGGGUUGUAAACCCCUUUUUCUCUGGGAAGAACACAAUGACGGUACCAGAGGAAUCAGCAUCGGCUAACUCCGUGCCAGCAGCCGC
This 450-nucleotide ribosomal RNA is filed under the name uncultured bacterium. RNAcentral describes it as "SSU rRNA". It matches the Rfam family "Bacterial small subunit ribosomal RNA", at positions 26 to 518 of the family's 1533-position model. The record is from RNAcentral.